UCUAAUUAGAUUCUAUAUUGUUUCUGGAAAAAUGUUCUACUUUCAUGCUCAUCAAAGUUCUACUUUAAACUAUUUUUUUUGUCUUUGUAAAUGAUAAUCAUUCAGUGUCCAUUUUGUCUAGAAGUUAAAAAAUGUUUGAAAACUUCAUGUCCUUUCCUGAUGAGAGUGAGAGAAGGUUAGAAAGGGGUAGUCCAUCUUCAUUUGAAAUACUCAAGAAAGUACGCAAAAAUAUUUUUUUUCUGGAUAAAGAUUAUUGACUUGUAAAAUUUGCUCAAAAUUAAAAUUUUAAGGAAAAAAUGGAUAGUUAAUAUUUUUGGCUUCUUGGAUAGCUUUUUUUGUAAGAGCUGGUAAUGAUGAUCGCUAUACUUCUUAUUUUGCAUGGUCUUGCCCCGUGCUUUCUCUUUAUUUUGCUUUGCUUGGAAAGGAACAAAUUCCUAAGCAGGUGUGCUGGGAUAUGAAUUGAUGGAUGAGGUGGUAUACCAUCUUCCCAUUUGAGAUGGG
This is a non-coding RNA of Cucurbita pepo subsp. pepo (vegetable marrow), 501 nucleotides long. NCBI's taxonomy places the organism in Eukaryota, Viridiplantae, Streptophyta, Magnoliopsida, Cucurbitales, Cucurbitaceae. The record is from RefSeq and is a predicted model, not a curated record.